CCCGGGUCUCACGUGCCCUGACUCCUGGUGUCUGUGCUGGCUGUGCUCUUAAUGUGUGGGUGUGCUGAGUGAUGGAGGUGCUCCCAGAUGGGCAGUUUGCCCUGUUAUUUAUCAGUCCUCCCAUUGCUCUUGUUGUCUGCAAGCCUGACAAGGAACAAAUUACAUGGCUGCGGUAACUCCUGAAGAACAUGUUUCCUUGGUUAUCCUGUGAAAGCUUUGUUUCCCAUUGGCAUGAUGAUCUUUGUAACAUAGAAUCAUAUAUUUUCUUCCCCGAUCCCCGCACUCAGAACGAAAUAAAACCCGUCUAAUUGCUGCCAUCUGAGCCGGAGGACUGCAAACAGAGAUGUGAAGGAGGCAGCACGGCUUGGAGCUGUAAAAUCCUCAGCACUCAUCCAUGGGUCACAACGGGGGAGGCACAAAUCUUUCCUCCAGCCCACCAAAGCGCUGUGCUCAGCGGGAAGGAGGGGCUCGAUGGAAUAUUCUGCCAUGAAGCAGAAGACUUCGCAGGGGGAAAAAAAGUGAAAAGAUACACAACAGUGGAGCUGCUUUCUUGGCUAAGCAUGAGGAAAACUGCAGGAGUCUGUGUUACUUACUCACUUGUGCAAAAUGUGCUUAGUUCCACAAAUGCAGCGGUGCCAGUCCUGCAGGUGUGUUAGCAGGUGAUAAGUGCUGUUCACGCGCUGAGUAAUGUGCUGGGGAAAGAAAUGACCACGUUUCAGGUGAGUUUAAAAUCCUGACAGGUACCAGAAGGAUAGGAAACAGCCAAUGCAAAUAGAUUAAGCACGGAACCUGUGUUUAAUGUAUGAAACUCUCUGAAGGCUCCUAAGGCAGCACGCGAAAAUACAAAAUCCCAGGUGUUUGAGCUGAACCCUUACAGCUCUGGGGAUUUUGCAGGCAGAAGCACUCACAUUCGUUGCACCAUGAUGUUCUCCCUUUCUUCCCCCUGCUCGCAGAGCUGCUGUGAUAGACGUGCAUCCCUCCCAGCCAACCCCGGACUGCAAGGAGACCACGCUGCAAAGCAAUGGAUCUGGGCAGAGCUUGGCCAGGCAGGGCUGAGAAUGUCACUGCAGAGCUGGCCAAGCUGCUCACCGCAACACACGAACCCCAGCUCCCGCCUGGUGCUGCCUGAAUGCUGCACGGAGCAGCCAUGUGAAAUAACUCCUGGGGUAGAUAGCAGUAAUCUGAGCGCAACUGCAGAUGAGAAAAUCCUGCCCAUUGUCCUGCCCUGAUGAAAUUAAACCCGGCACCUUGCACAGCUGCUGCCAAACCCGGCAGCGUUGUUCCUUUGUGCUCAUACGUAAGCUCAGUUCUCUGCCAUCCCACAAGGAGCAUCACUCACAGCCUGCGGGAAGACAAAACCUUCCUCCCAGUCUCACACAGCUCUGGUGCACCCAAUUCUGCUGUUACUGACAGUGGUGUAUUCUGGGGUGAAGGCCUGGCUUACAUCGCUACAUGAACAAUGGCUUGUUGUUGUUGUCUCCACCUUCCUUUGUACCUAAUAAAACAAGAUUUUGG
RNAcentral lists this long non-coding RNA (1515 nucleotides) under Gallus gallus (chicken). RNAcentral describes it as "lncRNA (ENSGALG00010011303.1)". Lineage: Eukaryota; Metazoa; Chordata; Aves; Galliformes; Phasianidae. The record is from RNAcentral.